RNAcentral lists this ribosomal RNA (477 nucleotides) under Bergeyella zoohelcum. RNAcentral's name for it is "bacterial SSU rRNA". It matches the Rfam family "Bacterial small subunit ribosomal RNA", at positions 9 to 476 of the family's 1533-position model. The record is from RNAcentral. Lineage: Bacteria; Pseudomonadati; Bacteroidota; Flavobacteriia; Flavobacteriales; Weeksellaceae.
GAGUUUGAUUAUGGCUCAGGAUGAACGCUAGCGGGAGGCCUAACACAUGCAAGCCGAGCGGGAUUUGUUGGUUAGCUUGCUAACUAAUAAUGAGAGCGGCGUACGGGUGCGUAACACGUGUGCAACCUGCCUUUAUCUGGGGGAUAGCCUUUCGAAAGGAAGAUUAAUACCCCAUAAUAUAUUAAUUGGCAUCAAUUGAUAUUGAAAGCUCCGGCGGAUAGAGAUGGGCACGCGUAAGAUUAGCUAGUUGGUGAGGUAACGGCUCACCAAGGCUGCGAUCUUUAGGGGGCCUGAGAGGGUGAUCCCCCACACUGGUACUGAGACACGGACCAGGCUCCUACGGGAGGCAGCAGUGAGGAAUAUUGGACAAUGGGUGAGAGCCUGAUCCAGCCAUCCCGCGUGAAGGACUAAGGACCUAUGGUUUGUAAACUUCUUUUAUACAGGGAUAAACCUACUCUCGUGAGGGUAGCUGAAGGU